Molecule: ribosomal RNA, 292 nt
Filed under: uncultured bacterium
Lineage: Bacteria
Description: partial 16S ribosomal RNA
Rfam family: Bacterial small subunit ribosomal RNA
Source: RNAcentral
GUGCCAGCAGCCGCGGUAAUACAGAGGUCCCAAGCGUUGUUCGGAUUCACUGGGCGUAAAGGGUGCGUAGGAGGUCGGGAAAGUCGGAUGUGAAAUCUCACCGCUUAACGGUGAAACUGCAUUCGAUACUGCUCGACUAGAGGAUCGGAGGGGAAAGCAGAAUUCUUGGUGUAGCGGUGAAAUGCGUAGAUAUCGUAAGGAAGACCAGUGGCGAAGGCGGGUCUCUGGACAGUUCCUGACGCUGAGGCACGAAGGUCAGGGGAGCAAACGGGAUUAGAUACCCCAGUAGUCC